Molecule: transfer RNA, 87 nt
Filed under: Rhodospirillaceae bacterium
Lineage: Bacteria; Pseudomonadati; Pseudomonadota; Alphaproteobacteria; Rhodospirillales; Rhodospirillaceae
Also listed under: 1 other name
Description: tRNA-Leu
Rfam family: tRNA
About the family: Transfer RNA (tRNA) molecules are approximately 80 nucleotides in length.
Source: RNAcentral
GCCCCUGUGGCGGAACUGGUAGACGCGCGGGAUUCAAAAUCCCGUUCCUGCAAGGGAGUGUCGGUUCGAUUCCGACUGGGGGCACCA